Molecule: transfer RNA, 82 nt
Filed under: Canis lupus familiaris (dog)
Lineage: Eukaryota; Metazoa; Chordata; Mammalia; Carnivora; Canidae
Also listed under: 1 other name
Rfam family: tRNA
About the family: Transfer RNA (tRNA) molecules are approximately 80 nucleotides in length.
Source: Rfam by way of RNAcentral
GCCUGGGUGGCUCAGUGGUUGAGCACCUGGCUUUGGCUCAGGCGUGAUCCUGUGGUCCUGGGAUUGAGUCCCACAUCAGGCU